Molecule: ribosomal RNA, 2906 nt
Filed under: Escherichia coli
Lineage: Bacteria; Pseudomonadati; Pseudomonadota; Gammaproteobacteria; Enterobacterales; Enterobacteriaceae
Description: 23S ribosomal RNA
Rfam family: Bacterial large subunit ribosomal RNA
Source: RNAcentral
GGUUAAGCGACUAAGCGUACACGGUGGAUGCCCUGGCAGUCAGAGGCGAUGAAGGACGUGCUAAUCUGCGAUAAGCGUCGGUAAGGUGAUAUGAACCGUUAUAACCGGCGAUUUCCGAAUGGGGAAACCCAGUGUGAUUCGUCACACUAUCAUUAACUGAAUCCAUAGGUUAAUGAGGCGAACCGGGGGAACUGAAACAUCUAAGUACCCCGAGGAAAAGAAAUCAACCGAGAUUCCCCCAGUAGCGGCGAGCGAACGGGGAGCAGCCCAGAGCCUGAAUCAGUGUGUGUGUUAGUGGAAGCGUCUGGAAAGGCGCGCGAUACAGGGUGACAGCCCCGUACACAAAAAUGCACAUACUGUGAGCUCGAUGAGUAGGGCGGGACACGUGGUAUCCUGUCUGAAUAUGGGGGGACCAUCCUCCAAGGCUAAAUACUCCUGACUGACCGAUAGUGAACCAGUACCGUGAGGGAAAGGCGAAAAGAACCCCGGCGAGGGGAGUGAAAAAGAACCUGAAACCGUGUACGUACAAGCAGUGGGAGCACAGAGCAAUCUGUGUGACUGCGUACCUUUUGUAUAAUGGGUCAGCGACUUAUAUUCUGUAGCAAGGUUAACCGAAUAGGGGAGCCGAAGGGAAACCGAGUCUUAACUGGGCGUUAAGUUGCAGGGUAUAGACCCGAAACCCGGUGAUCUAGCCAUGGGCAGGUUGAAGGUUGGGUAACACUAACUGGAGGACCGAACCGACUAAUGUUGAAAAAUUAGCGGAUGACUUGUGGCUGGGGGUGAAAGGCCAAUCAAACCGGGAGAUAGCUGGUUCUCCCCGAAAGCUAUUUAGGUAGCGCCUCGUGAAUUCAUCUCCGGGGGUAGAGCACUGUUUCGGCAAGGGGGUCAUCCCGACUUACCAACCCGAUGCAAACUGCGAAUACCGGAGAAUGUUAUCACGGGAGACACACGGCGGGUGCUAACGUCCGUCGUGAAGAGGGAAACAACCCAGACCGCCAGCUAAGGUCCCAAAGUCAUGGUUAAGUGGGAAACGAUGUGGGAAGGCCCAGACAGCCAGGAUGUUGGCUUAGAAGCAGCCAUCAUUUAAAGAAAGCGUAAUAGCUCACUGGUCGAGUCGGCCUGCGCGGAAGAUGUAACGGGGCUAAACCAUGCACCGAAGCUGCGGCAGCGACGCUUAUGCGUUGUUGGGUAGGGGAGCGUUCUGUAAGCCAGUGAAGGUGUACUGUGAGGUAUGCUGGAGGUAUCAGAAGUGCGAAUGCUGACAUAAGUAACGAUAAAGCGGGUGAAAAGCCCGCUCGCCGGAAGACCAAGGGUUCCUGUCCAACGUUAAUCGGGGCAGGGUGAGUCGACCCCUAAGGCGAGGCCGAAAGGCGUAGUCGAUGGGAAACAGGUUAAUAUUCCUGUACUUGGUGUUACUGCGAAGGGGGGACGGAGAAGGCUAUGUUGGCCGGGCGACGGUUGUCCCGGUUUAAGCGUGUAGGCUGGUUUUCCAGGCAAAUCCGGAAAAUCAAGGCUGAGGCGUGAUGACGAGGCACUACGGUGCUGAAGCAACAAAUGCCCUGCUUCCAGGAAAAGCCUCUAAGCAUCAGGUAACAUCAAAUCGUACCCCAAACCGACACAGGUGGUCAGGUAGAGAAUACCAAGGCGCUUGAGAGAACUCGGGUGAAGGAACUAGGCAAAAUGGUGCCGUAACUUCGGGAGAAGGCACGCUGAUAUGUAGGUGAAGUCCCUCGCGGAUGGAGCUGAAAUCAGUCGAAGAUACCAGCUGGCUGCAACUGUUUAUUAAAAACACAGCACUGUGCAAACACGAAAGUGGACGUAUACGGUGUGACGCCUGCCCGGUGCCGGAAGGUUAAUUGAUGGGGUUAGCGCAAGCGAAGCUCUUGAUCGAAGCCCCGGUAAACGGCGGCCGUAACUAUAACGGUCCUAAGGUAGCGAAAUUCCUUGUCGGGUAAGUUCCGACCUGCACGAAUGGCGUAAUGAUGGCCAGGCUGUCUCCACCCGAGACUCAGUGAAAUUGAACUCGCUGUGAAGAUGCAGUGUACCCGCGGCAAGACGGAAAGACCCCGUGAACCUUUACUAUAGCUUGACACUGAACAUUGAGCCUUGAUGUGUAGGAUAGGUGGGAGGCUUUGAAGUGUGGACGCCAGUCUGCAUGGAGCCGACCUUGAAAUACCACCCUUUAAUGUUUGAUGUUCUAACGUUGACCCGUAAUCCGGGUUGCGGACAGUGUCUGGUGGGUAGUUUGACUGGGGCGGUCUCCUCCUAAAGAGUAACGGAGGAGCACGAAGGUUGGCUAAUCCUGGUCGGACAUCAGGAGGUUAGUGCAAUGGCAUAAGCCAGCUUGACUGCGAGCGUGACGGCGCGAGCAGGUGCGAAAGCAGGUCAUAGUGAUCCGGUGGUUCUGAAUGGAAGGGCCAUCGCUCAACGGAUAAAAGGUACUCCGGGGAUAACAGGCUGAUACCGCCCAAGAGUUCAUAUCGACGGCGGUGUUUGGCACCUCGAUGUCGGCUCAUCACAUCCUGGGGCUGAAGUAGGUCCCAAGGGUAUGGCUGUUCGCCAUUUAAAGUGGUACGCGAGCUGGGUUUAGAACGUCGUGAGACAGUUCGGUCCCUAUCUGCCGUGGGCGCUGGAGAACUGAGGGGGGCUGCUCCUAGUACGAGAGGACCGGAGUGGACGCAUCACUGGUGUUCGGGUUGUCAUGCCAAUGGCACUGCCCGGUAGCUAAAUGCGGAAGAGAUAAGUGCUGAAAGCAUCUAAGCACGAAACUUGCCCCGAGAUGAGUUCUCCCUGACUCCUUGAGAGUCCUGAAGGAACGUUGAAGACGACGACGUUGAUAGGCCGGAUGUGUAAGCGCAGCGAUGCGUUGAGCUAACCGGUACUAAUGAACCGUGAGGCUUAACCUU